GUUCCGGGUCCCAAGAUUUGGCUCCAAGAGCUAUUCGCAGAGCAACAGACUCGCACAAAAAACCACCGCCCCCGAAACCCGCGGGAAAUCUGUUUCCUGUGAGAGGCCUGGCCUCCGGGCAUUGGCGGUUUCCCUGAUCCUCUCUCUCAAAUUUUCCGGCAGGGGAUCGAUCGAGGCGACAUUUAGGACUGCGGUGGGCGAGGGAGUGGCGGUUCUCGUCCCAAGUUACAGGUGAGGACGUGCAGGCCAAGGCGUAGCCAAGAUCGCACCGCCCUGUAGCUGGAGGAGGCGCCGGGAUUCGAACCAAGGCUGUGCCCAAUCCUAAGCCCUGCGAAGUCUUGUGGAACCGACAUGACCCACUCUUUGGUUUGUCCAGAGACAGUGAGCAGGUAAGAGUCUGUGGGGACAGGCAGUGGGGAGGCCCUAAGCCUGGGGUCGAGUCCUCAGUGGAUAGAGCUGGGGGUCAGGCCCUCCGCGGAGCUGAGAGCUGGUCUCAGCCCCUCUCUUCGCCGUGAUCUGGUGCCUCCAGGGUGAGUUCAGUGCUGAAUCGCAACACUCGGCAGUUUGGAAAAAAACAUCUUUUCGACCAGGAUGAGGAGACAUGUUGGAACUCAGACCAGGGCCCCUCCCAGUGGGUGACGCUGGAGUUUCCCCAGCUCAUCUGUGUCUCCCAGCUGCAGAUCCAGUUUCAGGGUGGCUUCUCCAGUCGCCGGGGCUGCCUGGAAGGUACUAGAAGGCCCUGGGUGGCGGGGGUUCCAGGGGUCACCCCCGACACUCAUUGCCUUUCUCUGUUGAAGGUUCACAGGGCACUCAGGCUCUCCGCAAGAUUGUAGAUUUCUACCCUGAGGACAACAACUCGCUUCAGGCUCACACUUUCCCCAUACCAGCUGCUGAAGUGGACCGGCUGAAGGUGACGUUUGAGGAUGCCACUGACUUUUUUGGCCGUGUGGUCAUCUACCACCUGCGGGUGCUUGGGGAGAAGGUGUGAGACCUCUGGGGGCUGUCUCCUCCAGGAAGCCCUCCGGGAAGCACAGCAAAGU
RNAcentral lists this small RNA (1040 nucleotides) under Pongo abelii (Sumatran orangutan). RNAcentral describes it as "retained intron". The record is from RNAcentral. Lineage: Eukaryota; Metazoa; Chordata; Mammalia; Primates; Hominidae.